Long non-coding RNA from Gadus morhua (Atlantic cod), 409 nucleotides. RefSeq lists it as uncharacterized. The transcript has 3 exons. The record is from RefSeq and is a predicted model, not a curated record. NCBI's taxonomy places the organism in Eukaryota, Metazoa, Chordata, Actinopteri, Gadiformes, Gadidae.
GCCACACUAUUCUAAGUUAGUAAACGCGUCGUAGCAGCUGGAAGAAAAAAAAAACAUCGAUCCGUCCUGCACAACUAUGCCGACUGACUGUAAGUAUUCGUAUGUGUGUAUCAUGAUUAUAUUAUGACUAUGUCUAUGUGAAUCAGCUGUUUAUAUCUGACCGAAGCAGCGAUUACUUCACAGCGAAUUGCGGUGCCGGAGGCGAGAGCGUGAAACAGCAGCAGGGUCCACGUGGAAAUUUGCAGGAUAUUCGGCUCAACAGACCGAUUCUAGCAGACCAGACUAAUGUGCUGACAAGCGGUAGUUUUGUACCUAUCGAGGCCAAUGUCAUUCAGCGCCCCUCCGGACGGCUCAACAGACCGAUUCUAGCAGACCAGACUAAUGUGCUGACAAGCGGUAGUUUUGGUAA